CUCCAGACUCCUACGGGAGGCAGCAGUGGGGAAUAUUGCACAAUGGGGGGAACCCUGAUGCAGCGACGCCGCGUGGGUGAGGAAGUACCCCGGUAUGUAAAGCCCUUUCGGCAGGGAAGAAAAUGACGGUACCUGACCAAGAAGCCCCGGCUAACUACGUGCCAGCAGCCGCGGUAAUACGUAGGGGGCAAGCGUUAUCCGGAAUUACUGGGUGUAAAGGGAGCGUAGACGGUGAUGCAAGUCUGGAGUGAAAGGCGGGGGCCCAACCCCCGGACUGCUCUGGAAACUGUAUGACUUGAGUGCAGGAGAGGUAAGCGGAAUUCCUAGUGUAGCGGUGAAAUGCGUAGAUAUUAGGAGGAACACCAGUGGCGAAGGCGGCUUACUGGACUGUAACUGACGUUGAGGCUCGAAAGCGUGGGGAGCAAACAGGAUUAGAUACCCUGGUA
This 446-nucleotide ribosomal RNA is filed under the name uncultured bacterium. Its description in RNAcentral is "bacterial SSU rRNA". It matches the Rfam family "Bacterial small subunit ribosomal RNA", at positions 329 to 792 of the family's 1533-position model. The record is from RNAcentral.